CAUAAAGUUGUCUGUCUGCCAGCCAACCCUGGUGAAGCUGACACAGGAUUCAUUUUGUUCCCCAUGUUGCAUGAAAUAGAACGUAACUGAAUUGUACAUGAUGUGGGUCAGGGCGGUUUGGACAGAGCCAAAUGGAGAAGAUGAGGGAGUCAUCCCAGAGGUUUGGGUGAAGGACAACAUGGUACACUGGCCACCAGGGGCUAAUGUAACUAAAGCAGCUAAAGAGAUGCGAACACCAACAAGUAGCUGGAAAAUGUUUCCACUGCUGAAAAUCAAAUUCAAGUCAAAUAAUCAGGAAGUGUGUGAAGUCUUCGACCAAACAAGUACUGCAGAGCUCAGUGAGGAAGAAUGUGGUCCUGUAUCAAAGACAAAAAUAUACCCAGGGUUUAUUUUAGGUACAGAAUACUUGCUCAUUUUGACAGGGCCCUAGUUUCUGGUGCUGGAGCAUAAUAUAUGUUGUGAUACUAUGUAUGGUAAUUAUACUGUUGUUUCUCCUCUUACACAGAUGAGGAUGAGCAUGAAAGCAGGACGAAGCGAAUCGUUGGAUUUUUGGAAUAAAAAUAUUCAUAUUUCAAAAGUUACA
Cyprinus carpio (common carp) is the source of this 583-nucleotide long non-coding RNA. Lineage: Eukaryota; Metazoa; Chordata; Actinopteri; Cypriniformes; Cyprinidae. The record is from Ensembl.